Fundulus heteroclitus (mummichog) is the source of this 1439-nucleotide long non-coding RNA. RefSeq lists it as uncharacterized. The record is from RefSeq and is a predicted model, not a curated record. The transcript is spliced from 2 exons. Lineage: Eukaryota; Metazoa; Chordata; Actinopteri; Cyprinodontiformes; Fundulidae.
UUUUUUUUUUUUUUUUGCUGUGUUUUAUAUUAUGAAUGAUUUGUUCUGGGCUUUUGUUUUUACUUCAAUGGUGCUCAUUUGAUAUUUGAAUUUUUACCCCUACAGGUUGCCUGUUUUUAUAGAAUUGUAUGCAGAGUUAAAAUUCUCUGAAUUUGUUAUAGAUAUGAGAAAUGUUCAUGAGUUCUUGCAAUCGGUCUGUGGGGUCUUUAUGUUCCUCUGUUUAGAUAAGCCUGAACAGAGGAAUGGGGGGGGGCUAAGAUAGAGUUAUCAAUCACAGCCGGGGCGCCACAGGAGGUAAGCUACAGCCAGCCCAUUGACAGGUUAUCCUUUGAAAGGCUCUCACGUCGCACUCAUAUUCGUGUGUGUGUGUUUAUGUGUGAGAGCCAGUGUGUGUGUGUGUCUGUAUGCACAUGUAUUGUAUUGUGUUCGUCUCAGGUGGCAGGGGCCAACACAAAGGCUGGGCCAUUAAAAGAUAAGGGCGCACUGAAACCUAACCCAGCCUCCGUCAAUCAGUUCCCCCUCCUCCUAACACACAUGCACACAAUGGAUGAGGAAAAAAAGGGGCGAAAAGGAAAGAAGAAGCACAGAAGGAGCGGUUGGAAAGGUGUGAGAUGAAGGGAGAGGAAACAAUACAACAGAGCAGAGAAUUUACCAGCAUGUGACGAAUAUUCUCAAUUAGUCUUAUAAACUGAGCUCACUUUCGGAAAAUUUUUCAUAUAGCACAAAACCUCCAAAUAUUUAAUUUUUAUUUGUGGUUUUUAUGUUAAAACUAUUGAACCAUUACUUAUAUCUAACCAGCAUCAGUUUGCUGACCAAUGGGUCGACGCCGACACUGACAAUCCCACUUCCCACCACAAGGGGGCUCAGCAGACCUGCUCUUAUCAGCGGAGACCAAACAGGUCUCUCAGUUUUCUCUACACAAUUACCCUGUCUGGUAAACAAGGAGCAGAGAGAGGAAGGAACAAAAGCUGGAAAAUUAAGACAGAAAGACAGAAAGGACACGAAGCAAUAUAAAUCUGAACAGAGUCAGAGGGACAAUCGUGCCGAAAGGAGAGAAAAACAAGAGCCGAGCGCAAACAGGAGCAGAAAGGAUUUCGGCUGCAUGAGUCGGCCCAGAGAGGAGGAGCAGGAGGAGGGGAUGCAUAGAGACGGGCGAGGAAAGAAGGCCAGAUGGAGAACAGAAAAGAGGAAAUCUAACCCUGGGAACGAGGGAAGCCCAACGCUGAGAUUUGUUCUUGUCGAACACUCCUACGUGUUCUUCACAGUGACAACAAUAUCUCGCAGAUAGCAGGUUUGUCUCCGAAUGAUCUAAAUUUGAUGUUUUUGAAGGGAGUCAAUUAUAUUUCUGUCUGAAUUUUCCUGUAAUCGUGCAAUUUUCUGUCAGUGUAUCAUGUCAGAAUCGAGGAUUUCAGAACAAUAAAAAGACCAACAAGAGAUUU